UACGGAGGGUGCAAGCGUUAUCCGGAUUCACUGGGUUUAAAGGGUGCGUAGGUGGGCAGGUAAGUCAGUGGUGAAAUCCUGUAGCUUAACUACAGAACUGCCAUUGAUACUAUUUGUCUUGAAUACCCUGGAGGUGAGCGGAAUAUGUCAUGUAGCGGUGAAAUGCUUAGAUAUGACAUAGAACAUCUAUUGCGAAGGCAGCUCACUACGGGAAUAUUGACGCUGAGGCACGAAAGCGUGGGGAGCAAACAGG
This 253-nucleotide ribosomal RNA is filed under the name uncultured bacterium. Its description in RNAcentral is "partial 16S ribosomal RNA". It matches the Rfam family "Bacterial small subunit ribosomal RNA", at positions 524 to 776 of the family's 1533-position model. The record is from RNAcentral.